This 73-nucleotide transfer RNA is filed under the name Actinoplanes lobatus. RNAcentral's name for it is "tRNA-Val". It matches the Rfam family "tRNA". From Rfam's summary of the family: Transfer RNA (tRNA) molecules are approximately 80 nucleotides in length. Their secondary structure includes four short double-helical elements and three loops (D, anti-codon, and T loops). The record is from RNAcentral. RNAcentral also lists the same sequence under 1 other name. Lineage: Bacteria; Bacillati; Actinomycetota; Actinomycetes; Micromonosporales; Micromonosporaceae.
GUUCCGGUAGCUCAGUUGGUAGAGCGCCGCCUCGACAAGACGGAGGUCCCUGGUUCGAUUCCAGGCCGGAACA